CUUGGCACCCAGAGCCAAGUAUGUUUUUAAAGAUGUUGGGGACCUCAGCUCACCACGCGCUGCCCCACAUGCAGUGGUGAAACCCAGGCCCCGACAGGC
RNAcentral lists this small nucleolar RNA (99 nucleotides) under Saimiri boliviensis boliviensis (Bolivian squirrel monkey). Its description in RNAcentral is "Small nucleolar RNA ACA64 (ENSSBOG00000005844.1)". It matches the Rfam family "Small nucleolar RNA ACA64". Lineage: Eukaryota; Metazoa; Chordata; Mammalia; Primates; Cebidae. The record is from RNAcentral.